RNAcentral lists this unclassified non-coding RNA (355 nucleotides) under soil metagenome. Its description in RNAcentral is "partial contains 5.8S ribosomal RNA, internal transcribed spacer 2, and large subunit ribosomal RNA". The stretch from base 1 to 120 matches the Rfam family "5.8S ribosomal RNA", at positions 35 to 154 of the family's 154-position model. The record is from RNAcentral.
GAUGAAGAACGUAGCGAAAUGCGAUAAGUAAUGUGAAUUGCAGAAUUCAGUGAAUCAUCGAAUCUUUGAACGCACAUUGCGCCCAUUAGUAUUCUAGUGGGCAUGCCUGUUCGAGCGUCAUUAAGUCCACUUAAGCCCUGCUUAGUGAUGGGAGACUGCUCCAGCGGUGCUACCCUGUAGCUACCCUGCAGCUCCUCAAAGACAGCGGCGGAGUUGUGGUAUCCUCUGAGCUUAGUAACUUGUUCUAGCUUUCGAGUACACCACUUCCCCUGCCGUAAAACCCUUAAUUUUUAAGGGUUGACCUCGGAUCAGGGAGGAAUACCCGCUGAACUUGAGCAUAUCAAUAAGCGGAGGA